UCUUCCGCAAUGGACGAAAGUCUGUCGGAGCAACGCCGCGCGAGUGAUGAAGGUUUUCGGAUCGUAAAGCCCUGUUGCUAGGGAAGAACAAGUGCCGUUCAAAUAGGGCGGCACCUUGACGGUACCUAACCAGAUAGCUACGGCUCACUACGUGCCAGCAGCCGCGGUAAUACGUAGGUGGCAAGCGUUGUCCGGAAUUAUUGGGCGUAAAGGGCUCGCAGGCGGUUUCUUAAGUCUGAUGUGAAAGCCCCCGGCUCAACCGGGGAGGGUCAUUGGAAAAUGGGGAACUUGAGUGCAGAAGAGGAGGGUGGAAUUCCACGUGUAGCGGUGAAAUGCGUAGAGAUGUGGAGGAACACCAGUGGCGAAGGCGACUCUCUGGUCUGUAACUGACGCUGAGGAGCGAAAGCGUGGGGAGCGAACAG
This 422-nucleotide ribosomal RNA is filed under the name uncultured bacterium. RNAcentral's name for it is "bacterial SSU rRNA". It matches the Rfam family "Bacterial small subunit ribosomal RNA", at positions 362 to 775 of the family's 1533-position model. The record is from RNAcentral.